RNAcentral lists this ribosomal RNA (750 nucleotides) under uncultured archaeon. RNAcentral describes it as "bacterial SSU rRNA". It matches the Rfam family "Archaeal small subunit ribosomal RNA", at positions 56 to 791 of the family's 1478-position model. The record is from RNAcentral.
AGUCUAUGCUCACCUCGUGAGCAUGGCGUACGGCUCAGUAACACGUCCCUAACCUGCCCUAGAGAGGGGGAUAUCCUCGGGAAACUGAGGGUAAACCCCCAUAGGUAACGAGUUCUGGAAUGACUCGUUACCGAAAGUAGGCUAGGAGAAUGGUCCUAGCCUAGCUCUAGGAUGGGGCUGCGGCCGAUCAGGUAGUUGGUGAGGUAACGGCUCACCAAGCCUGUGACCGGUGCGGGCCGUGAGAGCGGGAGCCCGGAGAUGGACUCUGAGACAAGAGUCCAGGCCCUACGGGGCGCAGCAGGCGCGAAACCUCCGCAAUGCGCGCAAGCGCGACGGGGUCACCCCGAGUGCCACCUUUAUGGUGGCUUUUGCCUAGUGUAAAAAGCUAGGCGAAUAAGGGGGGGGCAAGACGGGUGUCAGCCGCCGCGGUAAUACCCGCUCCCCGAGUGGUGGGGACUUUUAUUGGGCUUAAAGCGUCCGUAGCGGGCCUAGUAAGUUUCCCGUUAAAUCCAGUGGCCUAACCACUGGGCUGCGGGAAAUACUGCUAGGCUUGGGGGUGGAAGAGGCCACCGGUACUCCUAGGGUAGGGGUAAAAUCCUCUGAUCCUAGGAGGACCACCAGUGGCGAAGGCGGGUGGCCAGGACACGCCCGACCGUGAGGGACGAAAGCUGGGGGAGCAAACGGGAUUAGAUACCCCGGUAGUCCCAGCUGUAAACGAUGCAGACUAGGUGGUAGGAAGUGGCNNUACGG